RNAcentral lists this ribosomal RNA (395 nucleotides) under uncultured bacterium. Its description in RNAcentral is "partial 16S ribosomal RNA". It matches the Rfam family "Bacterial small subunit ribosomal RNA", at positions 338 to 730 of the family's 1533-position model. The record is from RNAcentral.
CCUACGGGUGACAGCAGUGAGGAAUAUUGGUCAAUGGACGCAAGUCUGAACCAGCCAUGCCGCGUGCAGGAUGACGGCUCUAUGCAUUGUAAACUUCUUUUGUACGAGGGUAAACUCAGAUACGCGUAUCUGUCUGAAAGUAUCUGACGAAAAAGGAUCGGCUAACUCCGUGCCCGCAGCCGCGGUAAUACGGAGGAUUCAAGCGUUAUCCGGAUUUAUUGGGUUUAAAGGGUGCGUAGGCGGGCCUUUAAGUUAGGGGUGAAAUCCCGAGGCUCAACUUCGGCAUUGCCGCUGAUACUGUCUGGCUAGAGAGGAGGUGAGGUAGGCGGAAUGUAUGGUGUAGCGGUGAAAUGCUUAGAGAUCGCACAGAACACCGAUUGCGAAGGCAGCAUACC